CUUGGUCAUUUAGAGGAAGUAAAAGUCGUAACAAGGUUUCCGUAGGUGAACCUGCGGAAGGAUCAUUCAUAAUAAGUGUUUUAUGGCACUUUUUAAAUCCAUAUCCACCUUGUGUGCAAUGUCAGUCGAUCUUCUUCAUGGAGAUCGGCCAAACAUCAACCUUAUUUUUUAACUCUUUGUCUGAAAAAUAUUAUGAAUAAACAAUUCAAAAUACAACUUUCAACAACGGAUCUCUUGGCUCUCGCAUCGAUGAAGAACGCAGCGAAAUGCGAUACGUAAUGUGAAUUGCAGAAUUCAGUGAAUCAUCGAAUCUUUGAACGCAUAUUGCGCUCUUUGGUAUUCCGAAGAGCAUGCUUGUUUGAGUAUCAGUAAACACCUCAAAGCUUUUGGAUUUUUUUUGAAAGCUUUGGACUUGAGCAAUCCCAACGCCAAUCUUUUUCAGAUCGGCGGCGGGUUGCUUGAAAUGCAGGUGCAGCUGGACUUUCUCCUGAGCUAAAAGCAUAUUCAUUUAGUCCCGUCAAACGGAUUAUUACUUUUGCUGCAGCUAACAUAAAGGGAGUUUGACCGUAUUGGCUGACUGAUGCAGGAUUUUACAAGGGUCGGCAACGAUUCUUGUUAAACUCGAUCUCAAAUCAAGUAAGACUACCCGCUGAACUUAAGCAUAUCAAUAAGCGGAGGA
RNAcentral lists this ribosomal RNA (679 nucleotides) under uncultured fungus. RNAcentral's name for it is "eukaryotic LSU rRNA". The stretch from base 215 to 368 matches the Rfam family "5.8S ribosomal RNA". The record is from RNAcentral. Lineage: Eukaryota; Fungi.